GGGGGUAUAGCUCAGCUGGGAGAGCGCUUGAAUGGCAUUCAAGAGGUCAGCGGUUCGAGCCCGCUUACCUCCACCA
Molecule: transfer RNA, 76 nt
Filed under: Bacillota bacterium
Lineage: Bacteria; Bacillati; Bacillota
Description: tRNA-Ala
Rfam family: tRNA
About the family: Transfer RNA (tRNA) molecules are approximately 80 nucleotides in length. Their secondary structure includes four short double-helical elements and three loops (D, anti-codon, and T loops).
Source: RNAcentral